UGAGCGUACGGACUUCCUCUGAAAGGAAGUGCUGUGUACCGAGGUCAAGUGAAUUGACGUUUAAGCGCGAUGUAAGCGCGCCGCCCCUCGGGGAGAAACCGCCGGUUGGCGGUUUCUUUUUUACCCAAU
This 129-nucleotide non-coding RNA is filed under the name unclassified sequences. Its description in RNAcentral is "DUF3800-I RNA". It matches the Rfam family "DUF3800-I RNA". From Rfam's summary of the family: Actinobacteria, Firmicutes, Fusobacteria, Proteobacteria (1 example), Tenericutes (2 examples). Terminator (Clostridia) The record is from Rfam by way of RNAcentral.